This 201-nucleotide ribosomal RNA is filed under the name uncultured bacterium. Its description in RNAcentral is "partial 16S ribosomal RNA". It matches the Rfam family "Bacterial small subunit ribosomal RNA", at positions 1300 to 1500 of the family's 1533-position model. The record is from RNAcentral.
GGAGUCUGCAACCCGACUCCACGAAGUUGGAUUCGCUAGUAAUCGCGGAUCAGAAUGCCGCGGUGAAUACGUUCCCGGGUCUUGUACACACCGCCCGUCACACCAUGGGAGUCGGAAAUGCCCGAAGUCUGUGACCCAACCUUAGGGAGGGAGCAGCCGAAGGCAGGUCGGAUGACUGGGGUGAAGUCGUAACAAGGUAAC